RNAcentral lists this ribosomal RNA (272 nucleotides) under uncultured bacterium. RNAcentral's name for it is "partial 16S ribosomal RNA". It matches the Rfam family "Bacterial small subunit ribosomal RNA", at positions 337 to 606 of the family's 1533-position model. The record is from RNAcentral.
ACCUACGGGGCGCAGCAGUGAGGAAUAUUGGUCAAUGGGCGCGAGCCUGAGCCAGCCAAGUAGCGUGAAGGAUGACUGCCCUACGGGUUGUAAACUUCUUUUAUAAAGGAAUAAAGUGAGGCACGUGUGCCUUUUUGUAUGUACUUUAUGAAUAAGGAUCGGCUAACUCCGUGCCAGCAGCCGCGGUAAUACGGAGGAUCCGAGCGUUAUCCGGAUUUAUUGGGUGUAAAGGGAGCGUAGACGGCAGGGCAAGUCUGGAGUGAAAGGCGGGG